UACGAAGGGAGCUAGCGUUGUUCGGAAUCACUGGGCGUAAAGCGCACGUAGGCGGAUUUGUAAGUCAGGGGUGAAAUCCCGGGGCUCAACCUCGGAACUGCCUUUGAUACUGCAAAUCUCGAGUCCGGAAGAGGUGGGUGGAAUUCCUAGUGUAGAGGUGAAAUUCGUAGAUAUUAGGAAGAACACCGGUGGCGAAGGCGGCCCACUGGUCCGGUACUGACGCUGAGGUGCGAAAGCGUGGGGAGCAAACAGG
RNAcentral lists this ribosomal RNA (253 nucleotides) under uncultured bacterium. RNAcentral describes it as "partial 16S ribosomal RNA". It matches the Rfam family "Bacterial small subunit ribosomal RNA", at positions 524 to 776 of the family's 1533-position model. The record is from RNAcentral. RNAcentral also lists the same sequence under 1 other name.